UCCACUCUUCAUUUCUUGUUUCAAUUAUUGAAUUGAAAAAAGUAAUGUAUAGUUAAGAAACCAGACUCUAUUAUUUUGCUUUUGGGAAAAAAAGACAGUUUUGCCACUUCUUUUUUCUAUGGCUGUAAGCUGUAGACUGUAGAUAAAACAUAGUUGUAUCAGUUACAAGUAAGAUUACUAGCAAAAGAGAGAGAGGAAUCAUUCUUGUUUACAUAUCACUCUUAGCAUUCAAAAGAUUUCAGAAAUGGAGGUAGUUGGUGGAGCAUUUCUCUCUUCAGCUUUGAAUGUUCUCUUUGAAAGGCUUGCUUCUCAGAGUGAUCUUCUCAACAUGUUUCGGAAGCAUAAGGAUCAGGUUCGGCUCUUAAAGAAGCUGAAAAUACUUUGCGUGGUCUUCAGAUUGUGCUAAGUGAUGCAGAGAAUAAGCAGGCGUCAAAUCCAUCUGUGAGCGACUGGCUUAAUGAGCUUCGAGAUGCUGUGGACUCUGCGGAGAACUUAAUAGAAGAAGUCAAUUAUGAAGCAUUGAGGCUUAAGGUGGAAGGUCAGUAUCAAAAUCUUGCAGAAACACUAUUGAAACGUUGGAGGAUUUGCAACCUGUGCUUGAGUGAUGAUUUUUGUCUUAACAUAACGGAGAAGUUGGAAGAAACCAUUGAAACAUUGGAGGUGUUGGAAAAGCAAAUUGGUCGCCUUGGCUUAAAGGAGCAUUUAGGUUCGACUAAACAAGAAACAAGAACACCUUCAACUUCUUUGGUUGAUGAUUCUGAUAUCUUUGGAAGGCAGAGUGAAAUAGAGGAUUUGAUUGAUCGCUUAUUGUCUGAAGAUGCAAGUGGAAAAAAUCUGACAGUAGUUCCUAUUGUUGGAAUGGGCGGCCUGGGUAAGACAACACUUGCUAAAGCGAUUUACCAUGAUGAGAGGGUGACGAAUCAUUUUGGUUUGAAAGCUUGGUAUUGUGUUUCUGAGCCAUAUGAUGCUUUGAGCAUAACAAAAGGUUUAAUUCAAGAAAUUGAAUCAUUUGACUCAAAGGAUGUCGACAAAAAUCUUAAUCAGCUUCAAGUCAAAUUGAAGGAAAACUUAAAGGGAAAGAAGUUUCUUAUUGUUCUGGAUGAUGUGUGGAAUGACAACUACAACGAAUGGGAUGACUUGAGAAAUUUGUUUGUACAAGGAGAUGUUGGAAGUAAGAUCAUUGUGACGACACGUAAAGAGAGUGUUGCCUUGAUGAUGGGAAAUGAGCAAAUUAGCAUGGACCAUUUGUCUAUUGAAGCCUCUUGGUCUUUAUUUAAAAGACAUGCAUUUGAAAACAUGAAUCCUAUGGGACAUUCAGAACUUGAAGAGGUCGGAAAACAGAUUGCAGCUAAGUGCAAGGGACUGCCCUUAGCUCUGAAGACUCUUGCUGGCAUGUUACGCUCCAAAUCAGAGGUUGAAGAGUGGAAACGUAUUUUGAAAAGUGAAAUAUGGGAGCUGCCACAGAAUGACAUAUUACCAGCGCUGAUGUUGAGCUACAAUGAUCUUCCUGCACAUUUAAAGCAAUGUUUUUCCUACUGUGCAAUUUUUCCCAAAGAUUAUCCAUUUAGUAAAGAACAAGUCGUUCAUCUGUGGGUUGCCAAUGGUCUUGUACCACAGGAAGAUGAAAUAAUUGAAGAUUCAGGCAGUCGGUACUUUCUCGAGUUGAGGUCAAGAACAUUAUUCGAAAGGGUCCCAAAUCCUUCGGAAUGGAACAUAGAGAAAUUCUUAAUGCAUGACCUUGUCAACGAUUUAGCCCAAAUUGCAUCUUCAAAACUUUGUAUCAGGUUGGAAGAGAGUCAAGGAUCUCAUAUGUUGGAAAAAAGUCGACACUUGUCAUAUUCUAUGGGAUAUGAUGGUGAGUUUGAGAAAUUGACACCCCUCAACAAAUUGGAGCAGCUGAGGACAUUGCUUCCGACAUGUAUUAGUGUUGAUUCUUGCUAUCACCCUCUAAGCAAGAGGGUGUUGCAUAACACACUGCCAAGAUUAAGAUCCUUGAGGGUACUAUCAUUGUCUCAUUACCAUAUUACGGAGUUGCCAAAUGAUUUGUUUAUCAAAUUAAAGCUCCUCAGGUUUUUGGACCUUUCUGAGACAAGUAUUGGAAAGUUGCCUAAUUCCAUUUAUGUAUUGUAUAACUUAGAGAUACUUCUCCUUUCAUCUUGUGGUUACCUUGAGGAGCUACCGCUGCAGAUGGAGAGGUUGAUUAACUUGCGUCAUCUUGACAUAAGCAACACUUCUCACUUGAAGAUGCCGCUGCAUCUGAGCAAGUUAAAAAGCCUUCAAGUGUUAGUGGGAGCCAAGUUUCUUAUAGGUGGUCGCGGUGGUUUGAGAAUGGAAGAUUUAGGUGAAGUACAUAAGUUAUAUGGAUCUCUGUCAGUUGUAGAGUUGCAAAAUGUGGUAGAUAGAAGGGAAGCUAUGAAGGCAAAGAUGAGGGAGAAGAAUCAUAUUGACAAGUUAUCAUUGGAGUGGAGUGAAAGUAGUAGUGUUGACAAUCCACAAACUGAAAGAGACAUACUUGACGAGCUACGGCCACAUAAAAACAUAAAAGAAGUCAAAAUCACCGGAUAUAGAGGAACAAAAUUUCCAAAUUGGCUAGUUGAUCCUUUGUUUCGUAAGCUGGUAGAAUUGUCACUUAGCCACUGCAAGGACUGUGAUUUCCUUGCCAGCACUAGGACAGCUUCCUUGUUUGAAAUUCCUUUCGAUUAGAGAGAUGCAUGGAAUAACAGAGGUGACGGAAGAAUUCUAUGGCAUUUCAUCCUCUAAAAAGCCUUUUAACUCUCUUGAGAAGCUUGUAUUUAAAGAUAUGCCGGAGUGGAAGCAAUGGCAUGUACUAGGAAAUGGAGAGUUUCCUAUACUCGAGAAGCUUUCAAUUGAAAAUUGUCCUAAGUUGAUGGGAAAGUUGCCUGAAAAUCUUUGUUCUCUGAAAGAAUUGAAAUUUCAACGUGUCCUGAACUCGGCUUGGAGACACCCAUCCAACUUACAAGUUUAAAAAGGUUUGAAGUUAUUGGUUCUCCGAAGGCUGGAGUUCUUUUUGAUGAAGCUCAGCUGUUUAGAUCCCAACUUGAGGGAAUGGAGAAGAUUGAGAAAUUAUAUAUUCGUAAUUGUAACUCUCUUACCUCCAUACAUUUUAGCAUUCUUCCCAGUACCUUGAAGGCAAUAUCGAUAUCUGAUUGCCAGAAAUUGAAAUUGGAGGCGUCAGUUGGUGAGAUGUUUCUUGAGCAUUUGAUACUGGAAGAAUGUGAUUCUAUAACUGAGUUGGUCUCAAGAGCAUGUUAUUUGGUUGUACGUAGUUGCCACAACCUUACUAGUUUUUUUUUUCCUACUGCCACUGAAAGUCUCAUUUGCUGCAACCUUACAAUGCUGAAGCGGCUGCCACAACUCCCUCCAUCUCUUAAGGAACUGAAACUGUGGGAUUGUCCAGAAAUAGAGUUCUUUCUUGAAGGAGCAUUGCCCUUCAAUUUAGAAUUCCUUCAUAUCUACAAUUGCACGAAACUGGUGAACGGCCGAAAGGAGUGGCGUUUACAUAGACUUCCCUGUCUCAGACAGUUAGUGAUCGGACAUGAUGGCCAGUGACGAAGAGAUUCUUGCUGGUGAGAAUUGGGAAUUGCCUUCCUCUAUUAGAAUUCUUGUCAUAGUCAAUAUGAAAACAUUAAGCAUCCAAGUUCUCAAAAGCCUCACCUUUCUUCAAAUUCUAUCUAUUGGUGAUUUACCUCAAAUUCAGUCACUGCUGGAAGAAGGGCUUCACUCAUCUUCUUCUCUUCAAAGUCUACGCAUCUUCUCCUGCCAUCAACUCCAGUCUCUUGCCCCCCUGCCAUCCUCCCUCUCUGAGCUGACCAUCCGUUAUUGCCCUAAUCUCAAAUCCCUUCCACCCCUGCCCUCCUCCCUCUCUGAGCUGACCAUCCAUGAUUGCCCUAAUCUCAAAUCCCUUCCAGUAAACGGGAUGCUCUCUUCCCUCUCUAAACUAUCUAUUUCCAAAUGUCCAUUCCUCAAGCGACUCCUAAAAUUUGACAAGGGGAAAUACUGGCCAGAAAUUGCUCGUAUCUCCAACAUAGAGAUUGAUCACGAAUACCUUUAAUCAUUUAAACAAAUGAUUCUGAUAACAAUAUAUGUAAGUCGUUACAGUUCAAGCUCAGGUGGUAAUAGGAAAGUUCUGCUGCUUCUCUAUUGAAUAGACAUUUGCUGAAUGUGGUCUGACAGCAAAAGGUAAGUGAAUAAAGAUAGUUUCGCAGUUUCGUUAGCAUUGACUGUAAACGUUAUGUCUAUACUUUGAACUGUUUAUACAUAAAUCUGUGUGAUCAUUACAAAUGACGUAUAGCUCCGAUAUUAAUGGCAUUUAAUGUUCUUUUCAGAA
Molecule: RNA transcript, 4348 nt
Organism: Solanum pennellii
Lineage: Eukaryota; Viridiplantae; Streptophyta; Magnoliopsida; Solanales; Solanaceae
Gene name: putative disease resistance RPP13-like protein 1
Exons: 3
Source: RefSeq, a predicted model, not a curated record